GAUGAACGCUGGCGGCGUGCCUAAUACAUGCAAGUCGAGCGAACAGACUAGGAGAUUGCCCCUCUGACGUUAGCGACGGACAGGUGGGUAACACGUGGAUAAACUCCCUAUAAGACUGGGAUAACUUCGGGAAACCGGAGCUAAUACCGGUAAUUAUAUUGAACCGAACUUAUCAAUAGUGAGAGAGGGAUUUGAUGUCACUUAUAGAUGGAUAUGCGCCUCAUUAGCUAGUUGGUAAGGUUACGGAUUCGCAAGGCAACGAGGAGUAGCCGACCCGAGAGGGUGAUCGGCCACACUGGAACGGAGAUACGGUGCAAACUCCUACGGGAGGCAGCAGUAGGGCAUCUUCCGCAAGGGGCGAAAGCCUAACGGAGCAACUCCGCGUGAGUGAUGAGGGGCUUCGGAUCGUGAAACUCGGUUAUUAGGGAGGAACAAAGUUCUAAGUAACGAGGCACGUCUUGACGGUACCUAAUCAGAAAGCCACGGCUAACUACGUG
This 497-nucleotide ribosomal RNA is filed under the name uncultured bacterium. RNAcentral describes it as "partial 16S ribosomal RNA". It matches the Rfam family "Bacterial small subunit ribosomal RNA", at positions 28 to 507 of the family's 1533-position model. The record is from RNAcentral.